GACGAACGCUGGCGGCGUGCUUAACACAUGCAAGUCGAGCGGUAAGGCCCGUUUCGGGGUACGACGAGCGGCGAACGGGUGAGUAACACGUGGGUGACCUGCCCUCAGCUCUGGGAUAAGCCUGGGAAACCGGGUCUAAUACUGGAUAUGACUCCAUGACGCAUGUUGUGGGGUGGAAAGCCUUGUGCGGCUGAGGAUGGGCCCGCGGCCUAUCAGCUUGUUGGUGGGGUGANGGCCUACCAAGGCGACGACGGGUAGCCGGCCUGAGAGGCGACCGGCCACACUGGGACUGAGACACGGCCCAGACUCCUACGGGAGGCAGCAGUGGGGAAUCUUGCGCAAUGGGCGAAAGCCUGACGCAGCGACGCCGCGUGAGGGAUGACGGCC
Molecule: ribosomal RNA, 387 nt
Filed under: uncultured bacterium
Lineage: Bacteria
Description: bacterial SSU rRNA
Rfam family: Bacterial small subunit ribosomal RNA
Source: RNAcentral